RNAcentral lists this ribosomal RNA (511 nucleotides) under uncultured bacterium. RNAcentral describes it as "bacterial SSU rRNA". It matches the Rfam family "Bacterial small subunit ribosomal RNA", at positions 8 to 518 of the family's 1533-position model. The record is from RNAcentral.
AGGGUUCGAUUCUGGCUCAGGAUGAACGCUGGCGGCGUGCCUAAUACAUGCAAGUCGAGCGAGAAAUGUCCGAUUGAGACUUCGGUGGAUUUCGGACAUGGAAAGCGGCGGACGGGUGAGUAACGCGUAGGCAACCUGCCCUUUGCACAGGGAUAGCCACUGGAAACGGUGAUUAAUACCUGAUAAUGCAUCUUCAUCGCCUGUUGGAGAUGCCAAAGAUUUAUUGGCAAAGGAUGGGCCUGCGUCUGAUUAGCUUGUUGGUGGGGUAACGGCUCACCAAGGCGACGAUCAGUAGCCGACCUGAGAGGGUGAUCGGCCACAUUGGAACUGAGACACGGUCCAAACUCCUACGGGAGGCAGCAGUAGGGAAUCUUGCACAAUGGGCGAAAGCCUGAUGCAGCAACGCCGCGUGAGCGAUGAAGGCCCUUGGGUCGUAAAGCUCUGUCCUAUGGGAAGAAAAAAUGACGGUACCAUUGGAGGAAGCCCCGGCUAACUACGUGCCAGCCGCGGC